Molecule: ribosomal RNA, 460 nt
Filed under: uncultured bacterium
Lineage: Bacteria
Description: partial 16S ribosomal RNA
Rfam family: Bacterial small subunit ribosomal RNA
Source: RNAcentral
CCUACGGGAGGCAGCAGUGAGGAAUAUUGGUCAAUGGACUCAAGUCUGAACCAGCCAUGCCGCGUGCAGGAAGACGGCUCUAUGAGUUGUAAACUGCUUUUGUAAGAGGGUAAACGCAGAUACGCGUAUCUGUCUGAAAGUAUCGUACGAAUAAGGAUCGGCUCACUCCGUGCCAGCAGCCGCGGUAAUCCGGAGGAUUCAAGCGUUAUCCGGAUUUAUUGGGUUUACAGGGUGCGUAGGCGGUCGGAUAAGUUAGAGGUGAAAUCCCGAGGCUCAACUUCGGAAUUGCCUCUGUUACUGUGCGGCUAGAGAGUAGUUGCGGUAGGCGGAAUGUAUGGUGUAGCGGGGAAAUGCUUAGAGAUCAUACAGAACACAGAUUGCGAAGGCAGCUUACCAAGCUACUUCUGACGUUGAGGCACGAAAGCGUGGGGAGCAAACAGGAUUAGAUACCCCAGUAGUC